This 253-nucleotide ribosomal RNA is filed under the name uncultured bacterium. RNAcentral's name for it is "partial 16S ribosomal RNA". It matches the Rfam family "Bacterial small subunit ribosomal RNA", at positions 524 to 776 of the family's 1533-position model. The record is from RNAcentral.
UACAGAGGGGGCAAGCGUUGUUCGGAAUUACUGGGCGUAAAGGGCGCGUAGGCGGCCUUCUAAGUCGAACGUGAAAUCCCCAGGCUCAACUUGGGAACUGCGUCCGAUACUGGAUGGCUUGAGUGCGGGAGAGGGAUGUGGAAUUCCAGGUGUAGCGGUGAAAUGCGUAGAUAUCGGAAGGAACAUCAGUGGCGAAAGCGACUUCCUGGACCAAUACUGACGCUCAUGUGCGAAAGCGUGGGGAGCAAACAGG